RNAcentral lists this transfer RNA (72 nucleotides) under Dendronephthya gigantea. RNAcentral's name for it is "tRNA-Pro". It matches the Rfam family "tRNA". From Rfam's summary of the family: Transfer RNA (tRNA) molecules are approximately 80 nucleotides in length. Their secondary structure includes four short double-helical elements and three loops (D, anti-codon, and T loops). Further hydrogen bonds mediate the characteristic L-shaped molecular structure. tRNAs have two regions of fundamental functional importance: the anti-codon, which is responsible for specific mRNA codon recognition, and the 3' end, to which the tRNAs corresponding amino acid is attached (by aminoacyl-tRNA synthetases). tRNAs cope with the degeneracy of the genetic code in two manners: having more than one tRNA (with a specific anti-codon) for a particular amino acid; and 'wobble' base-pairing, i.e. permitting non-standard base-pairing at the 3rd anti-codon position. The record is from RNAcentral. Lineage: Eukaryota; Metazoa; Cnidaria; Anthozoa; Malacalcyonacea; Nephtheidae.
GGCUUGCUGGUCUAGUGAUAUGAUUCUUGCUUUGGGUGCGAAAGGUCACGGGUUCGAUUCCCGUGCAAGCCC